RNAcentral lists this ribosomal RNA (1044 nucleotides) under Chetostoma curvinerve. RNAcentral's name for it is "eukaryotic LSU rRNA". It matches the Rfam family "Eukaryotic large subunit ribosomal RNA", at positions 943 to 1853 of the family's 3401-position model. The record is from RNAcentral. Lineage: Eukaryota; Metazoa; Arthropoda; Insecta; Diptera; Tephritidae.
UCUAGUAGCUGGUUCCCUCCGAAGUUUCCCUCAGGAUAGCUGGUGCAUUUUAAAAUUAUGUAAAAUAAUCUUAUCUGGUAAAGCGAAUGAUUAGAGGCCUUAGGGUCGAAACGAUCUUAACCUAUUCUCAAACUUUAAAUGGGUAAGAAACUCACCUUUCUUGAUAUGAAGGUUGAGGUUAUGAUAUAAUGUGCCCAGUGGGCCACUUUUGGUAAGCAGAACUGGCGCUGUGGGAUGAACCAAACGUAAUGUUACGGUGCCUAAAUUAACAACUCAUGCAGAUACCAUGAAAGGCGUUGGUUGCUUAAAACAGCAGGACGGUGGACAUGGAAGUCGUAAUCCGCUAAGGAGUGUGUAACAACUCACCUGCCGAAGCAACUAGCCCUUAAAAUGGAUGGCGCUUAAGUUGUAUACCUAUACAUUACCGCUAAAGUAUAUGAUUUAUAAUGCAAUCAUUAUUGUUUGGAUUAUAAAUUUUGAAACUUUAGUGAGUAGGAGGGUACAAUGGUGUGCUUAGAAGUGUUUGGCGUAAGCCUGCAUGGAGCCGCCAUUGGUACAGAUCUUGGUGGUAGUAGCAAAUAAUCGAAUGAGAUCUUGGAGGACUGAAGUGGAGAAGGGUUUCGUGUGAACAGUGGUUGAUCACGAGUUAGUCGGUCCUAAGUUCAAGGCGAAAGCCGAAAAUUUUCAAGUUUUAAUAAACAAAAUUUAAAAACUUUUUUUAUAUAUUAUAAUUAAAUACUUGAAUAAUUUUGAACGAAAGGGAAUACGGUUCCAAUUCCGUAACCUGUUGAGUAUCCGUUUGUUAUUAAAAAUGGGCCUUGUGCUCAUCCUGGCAACAGGAACGACCAUAAAGAAGCCGUCGAGAGGUAUCGGAAGAGUUUUCUUUUCUGUUUUAUAGUCGUACUACCAUGGAAGUCUUUCGAAGAGAGAUAUGGUAGAUGGACUAGAAGAGCAUGACAUUUACUGUUGUGUCGAUAUUUUCUCCUCGGACCUUGAAAAUUUAUGGUGGGGUCACGCAAACUUCUCAACAGGCCGUACCAAUAU